GAUGAACGCUGGCGGCGUGCCUAAUACAUGCAAGUCGAGCGAACGGACGAGAAUCUUGCUUUUCUUAUGUUAGCGGCGGACGGGUGAGUAACACGUGGAUAACCUACCUAUAAGACUGGGAUAACUUCGGGAAACCGGAGCUAAUACCGGAUAAUAUUUUGAACCGCAUGGUUCAAAAGCGAAAGACGGUCUUGCUGUCACUUAUAGAUGGAUCCGCGCUGCAUUAGCUAGUUGGUAAGGUAACGGCUUACCAAGGCAACGAUGCAUAGCCGACCUGAGAGGGUGAUCGGCCACACUGGAACUGAGACACGGUCCAGACUCCUACGGGAGGCAGCAGUAGGGAAUCUUCCGCAAUGGGCGAAAGCCUGACGGAGCAACGCCGCGUGAGUGAUGAAGGUCUUCGGAUCGUAAAACUCUGUUAUUAGGGAAGAACAUAUGUGUAAGUAACUGUGCACAUCUUGACGGUACCUAAUCAGAAAGCAACGGCUAACUACGUG
This 497-nucleotide ribosomal RNA is filed under the name uncultured bacterium. RNAcentral's name for it is "partial 16S ribosomal RNA". It matches the Rfam family "Bacterial small subunit ribosomal RNA", at positions 28 to 507 of the family's 1533-position model. The record is from RNAcentral.